UACGAAGGGGACUAGCGUUGUUCGGAAUAACUGGGCGUAAAGAGUGAGUAGGCGGUUUAGUAAGUUAGAUGUGAAAUCCUUGGUCUUAAGCUAAGAACUGCAUUUAAUACUGCUAAACUUGAUGACAGAAGGGGGUAUUGGAAUUCCAAGUGUAGAAGUGAAAUUCGUAGAUAUUUGGAGGAACACCAGAAGCGAAGGCGUAUACCUGGUCUGUAGAUGACGCUGAGUCACGAAAGUAUGGGGAGCAAACAGG
This 253-nucleotide unclassified non-coding RNA is filed under the name uncultured Rickettsiales bacterium. Its description in RNAcentral is "contains 16S-23S intergenic spacer region". It matches the Rfam family "Bacterial small subunit ribosomal RNA", at positions 524 to 776 of the family's 1533-position model. The record is from RNAcentral. Lineage: Bacteria; Pseudomonadati; Pseudomonadota; Alphaproteobacteria; Rickettsiales.